Orcinus orca (killer whale) is the source of this 843-nucleotide long non-coding RNA. RefSeq lists it as uncharacterized. The record is from RefSeq and is a predicted model, not a curated record. The transcript is spliced from 4 exons. NCBI's taxonomy places the organism in Eukaryota, Metazoa, Chordata, Mammalia, Artiodactyla, Delphinidae.
AGAGCGCUGGCAAGGAAGGGCGCGCCAAGCAGACAGAGCCCAAGGCGCCCUCCAAGAACGCGCGCUACUUGGAAUCCCCCUGCCGGAAACCCGCAAAGCUGGAAAGCACCUCAUCUCAGCCCCUCAUUGCACCAAUAAGGAAGUAGGUCCCAGCGAAAAGAGGCGGCAGGGGCGGAACACACGAGCGACAGAGCUACCGUAAUUUAUUGUUAUAGAUUUGUACAACCAGAUCAGUCCUUGAAGGAUGGGAAAGAGCACUGAUAAUCACAGAAACAAAAGUGAUCCUUCACCAAAGGUAGCUUGAGAAGCACAGAGGCCUCAUCAGUAGCCUAAGAACAAUGAAGGGAAGAGACAUAUGCGACCCGAUAACAGAGCUUUCCUCAGGUUCCAGUGUCAGUUCUUUUCUUUUCUUUCUUUUUUUUAUUUUUCUGGCCUGCACCGCUUGGCAUGUGGGAUCUCAGUUCCCUGACCACGGAACGAACCUGAGCCUUCUGCCCUGGAAGCUCAGAGUCUUAACCACUGGACCGCCAGGAAAUACACUCUGGGACUUCCCUGGUGGUGCAAUGGUUAAGAAUCCGCCUGCCAAUGCAGGGGACACGAGUUCGAUCCCUGGUCCAGGAAGAUCCCACAUGUCGCGGAGCAACUAAGCCCGUGCGCCACAACUACUGAAGCCUGCGUGCCUAGAACCUGUGCUCCGCAACAAGAGAAGCCACCGCAAUGAGAAGCCUGUGCACCACAACGAAGAGUAGCCCCUGCUCGCUGCAACUAGAGAAAGACCACGUGCAGCAACUAAGACCCAACACAGCCAAAAAUAAAAAUAAAUAAAUAAAAUUGUUAAAAAAA